Mesocricetus auratus (golden hamster) is the source of this 510-nucleotide long non-coding RNA. RefSeq lists it as uncharacterized. The transcript is spliced from 3 exons. NCBI's taxonomy places the organism in Eukaryota, Metazoa, Chordata, Mammalia, Rodentia, Cricetidae. The record is from RefSeq and is a predicted model, not a curated record.
GGAUGGCAUAUAAGGCAGUCAUCCAUCUCAUUACCGGAGAAGGGCAUUUAAGGGUGACCAACAAAUUCUGGCCUCAUAGAAUUAUUGUUUACUCCUUCCAUUUUAUGAAGAAUUGGUGUUACUUAGCUAAGUGAUCGCCACUGAUUACCAGUGAUGCCAUGUAGAACCUGGAUUUCCAUUGUGGAGAUGGUUUCACAGGUGCAGAUACAGAGUCUCAGGACCUACCUACAGUGGUCGGAAUCUCCCAUUUCCUCGAUAUCUGCUUGUGUGCAUGCAAUGACCAGGCUACACUCUGAUGCUAACCUUCAUGACUCCGGGAUGAAAGUCCUUGUGAAGAGUGCUCCACCUGCCAUCUGCCACCUGCUCUGGAUGCCACUGACUCUGCUUUCCCAGAUGUUCUCAGCGCUACAGCCCAGAAUUCUGGCCCCAGAACCAAGAUGCUUUCUGCUCAGUCUUGAUCUCUUGCAUCGUCCUUUACAGCCUGUCAUUUAAUAAUGAGAUUUUACAGAA